Long non-coding RNA from Candoia aspera, 443 nucleotides. RefSeq lists it as uncharacterized. Lineage: Eukaryota; Metazoa; Chordata; Lepidosauria; Squamata; Candoiidae. The record is from RefSeq and is a predicted model, not a curated record. The transcript has 3 exons.
UUUAAUGAGGGCAGAAGCUUCCGCUACCGUGGUCGCAAGAAUAUGGCCUGUAAUAAACGCUCUCUACACUCUCGGAAAAAAGGAGAAGCUUCACCAAACUUUACUGAGUAUGCGCACAAGAAUAUUGGGCUAAUGUAGCGAGGAGCUGUAUUAUUUGAAACGAUGCAAUUACUUCGGAAAGGCUCCCAGAGGCCAGGGCUUGGAAGGUUAUCUGCCAGGGAUGAUAUGGGGUGUCCAUUCUGGAGAAAGGGAGGAAAGAAAAAAAAUAUCCCACAAUAGUGAGCGACCAAAGAUGGAAGAAGAAGUGGAAGAAGAGCUAGCCCUGGCUUUCCAGACAGGCCUACAGUUCUGGGAUAUCCUGGUGGUCUCCCUUCCAAAUACUACCUAGAUGUGACUCACCUUUGAGGGAUCAGCUAAGGUUGCUUAACUGCUGCCAUCUCCUG